Molecule: ribosomal RNA, 253 nt
Filed under: uncultured bacterium
Lineage: Bacteria
Description: partial 16S ribosomal RNA
Rfam family: Bacterial small subunit ribosomal RNA
Source: RNAcentral
GACAGAGGCCUCGAGCGUUAGGCGGAAUCACUGGGCUUAAAGCGUGUGUAGGCGGACUUCUAAGUACCUUGUGAAAUCCCACGGCUCACCCGUGGAACUGCUGGGUAUACUGGUCGUCUUGAGCCUUCUAGGGGCUACCGGAACAAAUGGUGGAGCGGUGAAAUGCGUAGAUAUCAUUUGGAACGCCAAUGGUGAAAACAGGUAGCUGGGGAAGUGCUGACGCUGAGACACGAAAGCCAGGGGAGCGAACGGG